UGUUGUGAAAGAGCUUGCAGAAGAAUAAAUGAGUGUGAAGUUGAAUCCUGGAGGGACUGUUGCUUUGGUGUACUAAGAUGUGAAAUCAGAAAAUGAAUAUCUUCUCUUGUGGAGUGAGCUUAGUGAUUGGAUUACUGCAUUUUGUGGCUACUUAUAUACUUAGCGUAUUCAGCAAGCAAGUCCUUAGUUAGAGUACUGUUGAAGUGGCCUGUCAGAACACAUUUGUCUGUGAACCAAUAUUUUAAAGAAGCACAAGAGGGUUAUCUUGUUUAACCUGCACCAAGAAAGGACCUUGUCAUCUCUGAUGGUUGUGAAAGAGCCAUUCAGUUUAGGCCAUUCUUGAGUUAUCAUUUAGCAAACUGUCCAAAUUUCACAAGUUCUGUAAAGAAAAAUCUCAGCUUUGAAGAUGAAUGGUAGUUUGUUCUCUUCUAACUAGCAAUGAUAUCUUUAGAGUGACAUAUUUUGAGCAUUUAAGAAGAGAUGGUCACUUGUGGUGAGACGGUGUGAUUGUUUUUUUUGUUUUGUUACUUAUUCUGAUUUUGAUCCUACAUUGUAUAGAAAAAACAAUAACAAAACAAUGUGUGCGGAGUAUCAGCACUGCUGGUAUUCACAGAGAAAGUGCCUAAAAAUCUCAGAUGACAGCACUUGUUAGCUUUGUUUGUGCCAUAUAUAUACUAUACGGGCUUUUUCAUCUGCUUACUGGUGGGAUUAAUGUAGUUCAUGUAGUUGCUCACAUUAAAAGUGUUUUAGAAGUAAUAUACUGUUAAAGUUUGUUUGAAAAUUGACAUAUAAGGUCAAAUGUUUCCCUGAAGGGGAAGAAGGGUAGUUCGAGCCAUUACGUAUUAUCUUCUGCCAGCUUUCAUUCUGGCAUUUAUGAAUUCAAGGUAAGUCAUAUUCUAAGUGAUUUGGUAUGUAAAUUAAAACUUUGCUUGAAAUCUAAGAUAGACUCAGUCAGAGUACUGGGAUAGUCUUUUAUAUUUUUAUGUUAUUAAGCUAAUUCAUUUACGAGCAGAAUGCUUUUUCUAUUUGGGAAUUGCAAAACUGGUAACGAAGGGGAUAUUUAUGCAGGCUAUAUGGGGAAUUUGACUUAAAAUAGCAAUAACACUAGAAUAAAAUGUGACACUGUCUUUUGAUGAUUUAAAGCAAAUUGAUUGAAACUCGUCCUCUUAUUAAUUCAUUUGCUUUCAUAGGAAUUAUUGGUUAGUUAGUAAAAGGCACUGUAACAUUCUUUGCAAAUCGUGAGCUAACGUUGCGUCUACUAAUAGUGUUGUCUAACAUCUUG
This 1282-nucleotide long non-coding RNA is filed under the name Meleagris gallopavo (turkey). RNAcentral's name for it is "lncRNA (ENSMGAG00000019511.1)". Lineage: Eukaryota; Metazoa; Chordata; Aves; Galliformes; Phasianidae. The record is from RNAcentral.